This 524-nucleotide ribosomal RNA is filed under the name uncultured bacterium. RNAcentral's name for it is "bacterial SSU rRNA". It matches the Rfam family "Bacterial small subunit ribosomal RNA", at positions 355 to 896 of the family's 1533-position model. The record is from RNAcentral.
UGGGGAAUAUUGGACAAUGGGCGAAAGCCUGAUCCAGCAAUGCCGCGUGAGUGAUGAAGGCCUUAGGGUUGUAAAGCUCUUUUACCCGGGAUGAUAAUGACAGUACCGGGAGAAUAAGCUCCGGCUAACUCCGUGCCAGCAGCCGCGGUAAUACGGAGGGAGCUAGCGUUAUUCGGAAUUACUGGGCGUAAAGCGCACGUAGGCGGCUUUGUAAGUUAGAGGUGAAAGCCUGGAGCUCAACUCCAGAAUUGCCUUUAAGACUGCAUCGCUUGAAUCCAGGAGAGGUGAGUGGAAUUCCGAGUGUAGAGGUGAAAUUCGUAGAUAUUCGGAAGAACACCAGUGGCGAAGGCGGCUCACUGGACUGGUAUUGACGCUGAGGUGCGAGAGCGUGGGGAGCAAACAGGAUUAGAUACCCUGGUAGUCCACGCCGUAAACGAUGAUAACUAGCUGUCGGGGCUCUUAGAGCUUCGGUGGCGCAGCUAACGCAUUAAGUUAUCCGCCUGGGGAGUACGGCCGCAAGGUUA